GAAGCCCUUUCUUGACGAUGGCUCGAGUCAUUGUGGCUUCAUUUCGGAAAGCUAAAGCACCAACGCCCCGUGACCCAACACGCUUCCACGAACCGUCUUCACUGGAGUAUGAGCGGAAAGGCACCUUUCCGAUCCACUCCACUCAAAGUUUAAGGUAGUGAUUUUAGUAUAUCCUAAGUAUGUCAUAAUGUACAACUAGAGUCAGUUCUGGGGAUAGCGAGAUGAACUAUUUGCUUGAAGUCUCCAAUUUUUUAGAAGUUAAUAUACAUACGAAAUUACUAACCAAAUAUUUUGUUAUGCUUUUUAAUAAACGGUCUAAAACCCCUCAAAAUCUCAGUACCGACUAUACAAAUGUAACUAAUGGUGUUUUGCAGGUUUUUAGAUAGAGCUUCACUAAAAACAGGAACAACCGGCCAGUGGGAUCUUUGUACAACCACAGAAGUCGAAGAAACAAAACAAAUGCUAAAUAUGCUACCUACCAUGGGCAUAACUUUUGUCCCAAGCGCUAUGAUCGCUCAAAUUAACACUUUGUUUGUCAAACAAGGAACGACUCUAAACACAAUGAUUGUCGGAAACUUCAGCAUCCCACCAGCGAGUCUCUCCGCCUUUGGGACAGUCUCUUUCCUCGUCUCCAUUGUCAUAUAUGAUCGAGUCUUAGUCAAGAUAGCCCAAAAAUUAACCGGGAAUCCAAGGGGCAUUACUUUGCUUCAACGGAUGGGAAUUGGUCUUAUCUUCUACAUCAUCGUCAUGACCGUCGCAUCUUUCACCGAAAGGUAUUAAGAUUUUAAAUAAAAUAAUUACUUUGCAUAAAUCUUUCAUAAGUAGGGCUUAUAUCAACUGAAUUCACACGGCCUGACCCGAGUUUUAGAAAAUCAUAGACACUUCUAUGUUAAUUUUAAAUCAAAAAAUCUGGACAGUUUGAAGUCAUGCAACCUAUAAUACGUCUUUAAAAUCUAGAAGUGAAGUUAGAUUUAUAUUUUCUUGUAUUGAUAGUGAACUUCACAGUUUCGUACUUGGCAUAUUUGUUACAGGUAUAGACUCAAAGUCGCUGCUGAUCAUGGACUCAUUCACCAAACGGGAGUAAAACUACAACGGGAAGCCCUUUCUUGACGAUGGCUCGAGUCAUUGUGGCUUCAUUUCGGAAAGCUAAAGCACCAACGCCCCGUGACCCAACACGCUUCCACGAACCGUCUUCACUGGAGUAUGAGCGGAAAGGCACCUUUCCGAUCCACUCCACUCAAAGUUUAAGGUAGUGAUUUUAGUAUAUCCUAAGUAUGUCAUAAUGUACAACUAGAGUCAGUUCUGGGGAUAGCGAGAUGAACUAUUUGCUUGAAGUCUCCAAUUUUUUAGAAGUUAAUAUACAUACGAAAUUACUAACCAAAUAUUUUGUUAUGCUUUUUAAUAAACGGUCUAAAACCCCUCAAAAUCUCAGUACCGACUAUACAAAUGUAACUAAUGGUGUUUUGC
Molecule: long non-coding RNA, 1467 nt
Filed under: Brassica napus (rape)
Lineage: Eukaryota; Viridiplantae; Streptophyta; Magnoliopsida; Brassicales; Brassicaceae
Description: long non-coding RNA (BNAP_LNC000248)
Source: RNAcentral